This 202-nucleotide long non-coding RNA is filed under the name Elaeis guineensis (African oil palm). RNAcentral's name for it is "long non-coding RNA (EGUI_LNC038635)". The record is from RNAcentral. Lineage: Eukaryota; Viridiplantae; Streptophyta; Magnoliopsida; Arecales; Arecaceae.
UAUGAGUCAUUAAAAAGAAAGAAUACAUAUUAUAAUUACUCUUUUCAUCUUGAGUGGUCCUUGUAAGAUAUAAAAAAUAAAUUGAUAUAAGAUUUAGAUAUAAAAGAUGGAUGAAUAAGGUUGGAUAGAGUAUUAAAAGGUAAAUAAAGAAGUAAUUAAUAAAAAAAGAGAAAGAAGGAGACAGCGAGAGGGAGAUAUGUCA